UCCGUAGGCUGAAAAGAUGCCCAUCUCUCCUCUUGGAUCCUCCGCGACCUCUCUCUCCAUGGCCGCCACGAGGAAGCUCGGCAGGUCGCCGCCGGCGGCGGCGGCGUAGGAGAAGGAAGACGACACGGAGGGGAUCUUCUCUUGGAGCUCCUUGGCCGACCUCGGCCUGCACCACCCCACCGCCUGCGCCCGCCUCCAAGUCCAAGGUCCCUCCCUCCCCCCUCUCUGAUUCCCCGUGUCUCUGUCGCCCUGUUGAUUUCGUAGUGCCCUAGGGAACUAGGAGCUCAGCCCCUAAUCUCGUCCACGUAUUCUUUGUUUUUUUUUCGAGAAAAAAUAGUCUAUGCAUAUGAUUUUCAAAUUUCCAAUCUGAAUGAUUAAAAUGAUAUUCGUGGUUUAAGUAGAAGUUUGACAGAAGACAUGCCCAAAACGUCUCCCACCUAGUUGUGAUAUGCAGAGAGUAAUAAUAUGUCAACAUUAGUGCAUUAUAUUGGAUUCCAGUUUGGAUUAAGUCCGAUUGCCGUCUUCAAAUCAGAAAUGGCAGUCCUCUGAUCUUCCAUAUCGCCGGUUUUGAGACAUAUUCAGCAUAAUGAUUGUAAGACGUGUAGUGUCAAAAAAGGUCUUACAUUAUGGGAUGGAGGGAGUACUUUACAGCAAAUCCAGUGUCUAGGUAUGGCAUCUCCACUAAUCUCAUCAUAUCUAGUUUGUUCAGAAAUUAAAUAGAGCGGCAGAGGUAAAGUUGUACAGUUGCCUUUUGCUACAUAUGGACCAAAUCAAAACAUGUUGAAUAAUAUCAACAUUCGAAUCACCAUCCCACCUUCUUCCAAGCUAGCACUUCCCAAUACUCAUCUGACGAAAGAAUAUCCAUCUUCUGGUGUUCAGCAAUUUAGACCCGUUGUGUUGAGAAUCUAGUAGCUGCACAGGCGUGUGCACUUGAAAAACUGUUUGAAUCUUAUUAUUGAUCAUCAUUAGGUUUCCAUUUAGAUACAGCAUAAAGUACCCUCCCUUUCCAUCCUUGAAGCAGCCAGCCGCAAUCUUCUACAGCAAAGAAUUCCUGAUGAAACAGUAAGUUCUUCCUGUGUACUAUGUUCUUUAAGAUGGCUGGAUCGACAGGAAGCUGCUGGAACCCAGCCUUGAGGCACCUUGCUUGCCACUGCCUGUAUAUUUCUGGCCUCUCAGUUCUUUGUGCACCCUCACAUGCUAUGAUGUUAAGAGCAUCCUGCCCAAACAGGAUCCUCUCAAUCAUCUUUCUUGCUUCAUUAUCCCGUGGAACAUUUGCAUCAAGCAUGUCAAACACUGAAGAGUAAUGGAGCAUAACCUCUUUGAAACGUUGUAUGAAGAAGGGAGAACUGAGUAAACCAUUCACCGUGCCAGAAAUAAAAAUCUUCGGGUCCAUCCUCCUCAUAGUUUUGAGCACCUUAUCCCUUGCACCAUUUACGGCAUCGGUUUCAUGACCGAGAUUCUUCAUCCGGAACAUGCAGUUCACUAUGAGAACUUCAACCUCGUCAAUGUUAAGAUCAUCAAUUUUGAUUGUCUCCCAUCUUGAAGCGGCAAUGCCCUGAUACUGGAAAGGUACCUUGAACCUAUUUGCGUAAUCAGCCAACCGCUUCCCUGUCUCCUCGAUCAUUUUGCAGGGGUGGAAACCUGACAGGGGAACGUCUAUACCUGUGAUCCGAAGCUUAGGGGCUCCCUCCUCUCGCUGUGCAAAAAUCUGAAUCAUUAAUGGCCACUGAAAGCCAAAGCCGAUGCCGAAAUCAACGAUGUGUACCCUUGGUUUCCCUUGUGAGACAUCAAGAAUAGCUUGGUUGGCAAAAUAGUAUGACGCCCUUCCGAAAGGGAAAGCUGCAAGAAAAAGGCUAUAAGCCUCUAACCAAUCUGCGGUACUUGUUUGCCUUUCCACGAGGUUGCGGUAAACCUGACUCCCGGUCCCAGCCAAGCGUGCCUUGAGGCCAUCCGCCAAGUAAAAUGCCAGUCUCUGAGUACAAUCACCAUCUGCUGAAGAGUGUUGCCUUAUCUUCAAUAGCAGUUCACUGGCCAACAGGUAGCUGUGUUCUGCCACAGCUUGUGCGCAGUGGAUUAGGAGAGUCCUGAGAUCAACCAACUCUUUCCUCGGUUGCUUCCUACUUCUGCUCCGGCCUUUCAGAGAGGUCUUGUUUCCUUCCCCCGCCAUCCUUUCUCGCAGUCUUGUUAUUCGGUCAGAACGAUCAUAGCAUAGCAGAACUUGGUCAAAAUUUUCAUUUCGAAUUAUUGCACAAGUGGUGAUGGCAUGAUGUUCAUUGCUCCUUCUUUGAAAGAUAUCCCAACCCCUUGGGUCUGCCACCUCAAAGAUUGUGUUUUCGGUCCUCUCUCCUACUUUUGCCUUCGUAGUCAGUUGGGAAAUAUAAAGUAUGUUAUUCUUUGAAUAUAUCACCAGCUUAUCAAUACUUGGAGCAAACAUUCUUUCCUGCCUGACACCUCUCUGACCAUGCAAGGCAAGGAAGCCAGAUCCGGAAGUCCAUCCAACACUUAUCAACGGCUGGUUUGGUAAAAAAGGACUCCUAUUGCAUAUAUAUGGACUCAACGGGGUUGCUAAAGGUUGCAACAUGUUGUAACUGGAAUAGUCAUUACUGAAGCUAGUGCUCCAGACCCUCUUGUAACGACUGGUCCCACUCUUAUCAGGGUUGUCUGGUUUGUUGUUGCUAUUCAAUGGCGGCCAGUUAGUAGGCGGUGUGCAUACCUCACCAAGAAUGUCACGGAAUGGCUUCUCAGCAGCCUGAAGAGCAGCCCCUUGGCAUAUGUCGACCUCGUCAACGUCUUCCAUCAGCAUCUGGCUUAUGUAGUGAAGAGCAUCGUUUGAUCUGAUCCGGUGGUGCUCAGGGCUACUCCCUGCAGCAAUCUGAAAUUUGUUUUGUCCAUGGCUGCUGUUGACACUUACUUGGUUGGCUGGGGAGAGAACUGUUGAGUGUGGACAACUCAGGUCGUAGUUGUACACGGUGAGUUGCUGCUGGGAAGAGGAAUCACCAUAUGGUUGGUUGGUUGCUGCGAGGGUGUCCAGAUUAUCACGGAGAGGUUCAAUUGCCAUUGUGGAAAGUCUGAUUUCCACCUCAAUACGAGAUAUAUGGUUCUUGUUUGUCCCACAGCAAAUGAACCGGCUUGUUUCCUGGAAGGAGAAAAAGGGAAAUGCAAGCUAAAUUAUUUAUUAGAGAUUCAGCUUAUGAUUGUUUUGGCAUGUCAUACUGGUUGAAAAAUAAAAUCCGAAGGCUUGCAGACACGAGAACAGCUAUUUUAGCCGGUUAAACAUAGAAUGUUUAAGCAUCAAUAACAGAAACAGCGUGAAAGCGAUUUUGAAUCUACGACGCGCCUAAUACCACUGUUCCUUUUUAUUUGCAGGAGGCUCCUCAUCUGAUCUGAGCAAGUAGCAAAAGUAGGGAAGCACACACCUUGGAUAUUAAGCAGCAGCAGUGGAUCCAAUGCUUUGAGAGAAGAGUAGCGAGGAUAAGUAGUGAGGUUGUAGUGUUGAUUUGAACUAAAUUUGUCGUUCCUGUACCUUCUGGCUUUGUUUCCAACGUCAUAAGAUUGUGACAGAGAAUGGUCCAGAUUACUAUGGCUUUGUUCCCAACGUUGAUUAGUUCUAGGCCCGGCCGAGCAUCAGACCUAUAAAAAAGGGUUUAUUAGGAGCGCUGGACUGGUUUUCAAUCAUUAUUAAGGUUCCUAAUUGAACUGUUAAAAAAUCCGAGGUAAUCGAAAAAAGGAGAUGCACUAUUCAAAGAAUGUUCUUCUUUCUUUUCCACUUGAUAAUUGAUAUAUAUAUAAUGGUAUUGGUUGAAUCUUUUUUAGGAUAAUUUGUUGUACUUUAUCUCAUUAAAACAAUCAGUUUUUUUGUGAUUAUCUUAAUUCAAAAUUAAAUUGUUG
RNAcentral lists this long non-coding RNA (3888 nucleotides) under Triticum aestivum (bread wheat). RNAcentral's name for it is "long non-coding RNA (TAES_LNC012980)". Lineage: Eukaryota; Viridiplantae; Streptophyta; Magnoliopsida; Poales; Poaceae. The record is from RNAcentral.